UACGUAGGGUGCAAGCGUUGUCCGGAAUUAUUGGGCGUAAAGAGCUCGUAGGCGGUCUGUCGCGUCUGCUGUGAAAAUCCAGGGCUCAACCCUGGACCUGCAGUGGGUACGGGCAGACUAGAGUGCGGUAGGGGAGAUCGGAAUUCCUGGUGUAGCGGUGAAAUGCGCAGAUAUCAGGAGGAACACCGGUGGCGAAGGCGGAUCUCUGGGCCGUAACUGACGCUGAGGAGCGAAAGCAUGGGGAGCAAACAGG
Molecule: ribosomal RNA, 253 nt
Filed under: uncultured bacterium
Lineage: Bacteria
Description: partial 16S ribosomal RNA
Rfam family: Bacterial small subunit ribosomal RNA
Source: RNAcentral